This 637-nucleotide ribosomal RNA is filed under the name uncultured bacterium. RNAcentral describes it as "bacterial SSU rRNA". It matches the Rfam family "Bacterial small subunit ribosomal RNA", at positions 505 to 1141 of the family's 1533-position model. The record is from RNAcentral.
GUGCCAGCAGCCGCGGUAAUACGGAGGGUGCAAGCGUUAAUCGGAAUUACUGGGCGUAAAGCGUGCGCAGGCGGCUGAUUAAGUCAAAUGUGAAAGCCCCGGGCUCAACCUGGGAAUGGCAUUCGAUACUGGUCAGCUAGAGUUUGGUAGAGGUAAGCGGAAUUCCGGGUGUAGCGGUGAAAUGCGUAGAUAUCCGGAGGAACAUCAGUGGCGAAGGCGGCUUACUGGACCAAAACUGACGCUCAGGCACGAAAGCGUGGGUAGCAAACAGGAUUAGAUACCCUGGUAGUCCACGCCCUAAACUAUGUCAACUAGCCGUUGGGUCCCCUUAAUAGGACUUAGUGGCGAAGCUAACGCGUUAAGUUGACCGCCUGGGGAGUACGGCCGCAAGGUUGAAACUCAAGGAAUUGACGGGGGCCCGCACAAGCGGUGGAGAUGUGGGUUAAUUCGAUGCAACGCGAAGAACCUUACCAGCCCUUGACAUCCUCGGAACUUGGGUAAGAUACUUUGGUGCCUUCGGGAACCGAGUGACAGGUGCUGCAUGGCUGUCGUCGCUCGUGUCGUGAGAUGUUGGGUUAAGUCCCGCAACGAGCGCAACCCUUACCCUUAGUUGCCAGCGCGUAAUGGCGGGAACUCU